RNAcentral lists this ribosomal RNA (364 nucleotides) under uncultured eukaryote. RNAcentral describes it as "partial 18S ribosomal RNA". It matches the Rfam family "Eukaryotic small subunit ribosomal RNA", at positions 592 to 976 of the family's 1831-position model. The record is from RNAcentral.
CAAAAGCGUAUAUUAAAGUUGUUGCAGUUAAAAAGCUCGUAGUUGAACCUUGGGCUUGGCCGGCCGGUCCAUCUUUUUUGAUGCGUACUGGACCCAGCCGAGCCUUUCCUUCUGGCUAGCCUUUUGGCGAACCAGGACUUUUACUUUGAAAAAAUUAGAGUGUUCAAAGCAGGCCUUUGCUCGAAUAUAUUAGCAUGGAAUAAUAGAAUAGGACGUUAUGGUUCUAUUUUGUUGGUUUCUAGGACCAUCGUAAUGAUUAAUAGGGACGGUCGGGGGUAUCAGUAUUCAGUUGUCAGAGGUGAAAUUCUUGGAUUUACUGAAGACUAACUACUGCGAAAGCAUUUACCAAGGACGUUUUCAUUAA